UACAUACUUGCUCAAUGGUAGAGCAUUAUCCUCUAAAGAUAACUGUUACAGGUUCGACUCCUGUGUAUGAAUC
RNAcentral lists this transfer RNA (73 nucleotides) under Cylindrospermum sp. NIES-4074. RNAcentral describes it as "tRNA-Pyl". It matches the Rfam family "tRNA". Rfam says of the family: Transfer RNA (tRNA) molecules are approximately 80 nucleotides in length. Their secondary structure includes four short double-helical elements and three loops (D, anti-codon, and T loops). Further hydrogen bonds mediate the characteristic L-shaped molecular structure. tRNAs have two regions of fundamental functional importance: the anti-codon, which is responsible for specific mRNA codon recognition, and the 3' end, to which the tRNAs corresponding amino acid is attached (by aminoacyl-tRNA synthetases). tRNAs cope with the degeneracy of the genetic code in two manners: having more than one tRNA (with a specific anti-codon) for a particular amino acid; and 'wobble' base-pairing, i.e. permitting non-standard base-pairing at the 3rd anti-codon position. The record is from RNAcentral. Lineage: Bacteria; Bacillati; Cyanobacteriota; Cyanophyceae; Nostocales; Nostocaceae.